CAGCCGCCGCGGUAAUACGUAGGGUGCAAGCGUUGUCCGGAAUUAUUGGGCGUAAAGAGCUCGUAGGCGGCUAGUCACGUCGGCUGUGAAAACCUGAGGCUCAACCUCGGGCUUGCAGCCGAUACGGGCUAGCUAGAAUUCGGUAGGGGAGACUGGAAUUCCUGGUGUAGCGGUGAGAUGCGCAGAUAUCAGGAGGAACACCGGUGGCGAAGGCGGGUCUCUGGGCCGAUAUUGACGCUGAGGAGCGAAAGCGUGGGGAGCGAACAGGAUUAGAUACCCCUGUAGUCCCUGUCUCUUAUAC
Molecule: ribosomal RNA, 301 nt
Filed under: uncultured bacterium
Lineage: Bacteria
Description: partial 16S ribosomal RNA
Rfam family: Bacterial small subunit ribosomal RNA
Source: RNAcentral